AAUGUCUGUCAUUUUGUUAGGAACGCCUCUCUGUGCUCAAAAAUAAAACUAGUUUGUUGACCGGUCUACACUACAGCACAGAAAAGGCUAUACUGACACUCCUGACAUACAAAAAAAUAUUUAAUUUGAGAAUUAGUUCAAAGUAGGUUAUGUUUAUGGUCAGGAUUAAGGUAACGGGUCAGUUCUAGAUUUUGGCUACUUGUUUACAGGACAGGAGUGUCCUUAUAGCCGGUACCCCAGCACGUGACUUAACAAAGCAAUGUUGGCCAACCAGGAGUUGCGUUAAAGGGUGCGCAUAGCCAGAGAGGAAGAGGGAUUCAACUAGUUGCCACAAAGUCAAAAUUGGCAAAAUAGUGAAAACGAACAUUUGCUUCUUGAUCUUAAUUUAAGGUGUGGUUAAGGUUAAGUUUAAUAUUUUCAGAUACAUUUUUGAAAUCGGUGGGAUUUAUGCCUUUGUUGAUGUGGUAACUAGUAUCGACCGAGGAAGAGACAAAGCUCUUUGGCAUGAGAGAGGCAAUACGGACACGCCUGGAGCACAAAAUUGAUGACGUAUGUCGCACAGCGAGAGUUGAGUGGAGACGAACGGAUUCUGUUCAGUCAGUCAUCGUAACUAGCUCUCGAUGUUUUCGUAAAGGGACGCCAAAUGACCUAUGGGAACUCCUUCCCCUUCACGUGAUCUGAUUGAGAUGUGCUGAAUUUGACAUUUGUCUGCCAAAGUUGGAACUUGUGAGAUUACUCAGAUAAAAACAGAAUGAAUCUGACCAACCAACAACCACGGAUAACCACAAGGAGAAUAAGGGGGAGACUCGUCGAGGCCUUGGUGACAGACGGAGAAAACGUCACGAGGCGAUGGCUCCAUCUGCUGGACGUGCCAGGUCUCGAGGGGAUCUCCGGCCAGGACUAAUUGGGGCUGUUUGGGGAUUGGUGAGUAAUCAUGGGCUGAUUGCUCACCAGCUGUACAGGUACCAUAAAGCUGCCAGAAGCGCAGCACACAGGAGAGACUGGGGGAGGAAAGGACUCCUGUAUAGUUGGGGAUGGUACCAGAGGUAACAUGAAGGAGUUUACUUUUGACCCCCACAGGAUACAGCAAGACCCGGAGCCCAGAAGACUGUAUCCUAGAGAGGGUCUCUUGGGGGAGACCUAUUCUUUUCUUUUGGACUAUUAUUGUAAUAAACACCUUUGAAACUGA
Molecule: long non-coding RNA, 1189 nt
Organism: Oncorhynchus gorbuscha (pink salmon)
Lineage: Eukaryota; Metazoa; Chordata; Actinopteri; Salmoniformes; Salmonidae
Exons: 2
Source: RefSeq, a predicted model, not a curated record